UAGUUCUUGGUCUCAAUGCUUGGAAGAAUGAAGAAGUAGACCAGACAGAGUGGAUAAAGAUCCAAGUCCUCAACCCUGCUUCAAGGUCCUACGGUCCAGCCUCUUUCCCAUCUCAGCCUUCUGGUAUACCACAUUCAUCUGCUAUCCACCCCACAGCUGUAAGUACUACCUUUUAAUUGCUCCAAAGUACAUCUACUCUGUCACAGGGCAUUUGUACAUGCUAUCCGCACCCCCCCCUU
RNAcentral lists this long non-coding RNA (239 nucleotides) under Mustela putorius furo (domestic ferret). Its description in RNAcentral is "lncRNA (ENSMPUG00000026490.1)". Lineage: Eukaryota; Metazoa; Chordata; Mammalia; Carnivora; Mustelidae. The record is from RNAcentral.